Molecule: ribosomal RNA, 478 nt
Filed under: uncultured bacterium
Lineage: Bacteria
Description: SSU rRNA
Rfam family: Bacterial small subunit ribosomal RNA
Source: RNAcentral
AGGACGAACGCUGGCGGCGUGCUUAACACAUGCAAGUCGAACGGUAAGGCCUUUCGGGGUACACGAGUGGCGAACGGGUGAGUAACACGUGGGUGAUCUGCCCUGCACUUUGGGAUAAGCCUGGGAAACUGGGUCUAAUACCGAAUAUGACCAUGGGAUGCAUGUUUCGUGGUGGAAAGCUUUUGCGGUGUGGGAUGGGCCCGCGGCCUAUCAGCUUGUUGGUGGGGUGAUGGCCUACCAAGGCGACGACGGGUAGCCGGCCUGAGAGGGUGUCCGGCCACACUGGGACUGAGAUACGGCCCAGACUCCUACGGGAGGCAGCAGUGGGGAAUAUUGCACAAUGGGCGCAAGCCUGAUGCAGCGACGCCGCGUGAGGGACGACGGCCUUCGGGUUGUAAACCUCUUCAGCAGGACGAAGGGUGACUGACGGUACCUGCAGAAGAAGGACCGGCCAACUACGUGCCAGCAGCCGCGGUAA